GAAAUGCAUCUUCUCUUCUUGGUUAAUCAAGAAACUGUUCUCAAAAGAGAUCAUCGUCGGUGAUUGAGCAGGAUGAGCAAGCAACAACUAGAGAAGUUGAAGCAGAAAGUCGGGGCAAACCCCAACUUACAACAAAACGGUCGAUUGUUGCACAUGCGUGAGGUUAUUGGGGGUCACAAUGAGUGGUCUGUAUUUACUUAUAACCUCCAAGUCCUGGGGGAUAUGGCGAGGGAAAACACAGAGCUGAGAAAAAAGCAUGAAAAACUGUUACAAAUGAUGGCACCAAUGUUGCCCGCUGGAGGAGGAAUGAUGCCUAAUCUUCUGGGUAUGAAUAAUCCCAGUGGCAACACAAACCAGUCCUUCCUGGGGUCUGGGUUGGGCUCCCUUGGUGCCUCUCCAAACUUCAUGAGUCCCAACAUGAAUUUCAAUCUUAUGGUUAUGCUGUUGGCCCAAAAGAUGGAAGACAUGAUGAGCAGGCUUGAUAAGUUGGAACAGGCACAAAAAGGGUAGAGCAUGGUAAUGCAUGGAGGUUACAAAUACUAUGUAAUGAGUUGAAUAAUCGUUAUGAUUUGAUGUGAUGUUCGGACUUCAGAGAGUUUGAAAGUCCAACAGUAUGUCUGCUUCCUCUCUAGUAUGUCCUAUUGUAAGAACGUGCUUCAUAUGUUAUAUUACGAGUGCGUGUCUCUGUAAGUUAUGAGUCUUAUGUCCUACAAUAAAUUGACUUUUGGUUC
Molecule: non-coding RNA, 731 nt
Organism: Punica granatum (pomegranate)
Lineage: Eukaryota; Viridiplantae; Streptophyta; Magnoliopsida; Myrtales; Lythraceae
Source: RefSeq, a predicted model, not a curated record